Molecule: ribosomal RNA, 253 nt
Filed under: uncultured bacterium
Lineage: Bacteria
Description: partial 16S ribosomal RNA
Rfam family: Bacterial small subunit ribosomal RNA
Source: RNAcentral
UACAGAGGGUGCAAGCGUUGUUCGGAAUUAUUGGGCGUAAAGGGCGCGUAGGCGGCACGGCAAGUCAGGAGUGAAAGCCCUGGGCUCAACCCGGGAACUGCUUUUGAAACUGCCGAGCUAGAGUGCGGAAGGGGCAACUGGAAUUCCCAGUGUAGCGGUGAAAUGCGUAGAUAUUGGGAAGAACACCUGAGGCGAAGGCGGGUUGCUGGGCCGACACUGACGCUGAUGCGCGAAAGCCGGGGGAGCGAACGGG